Molecule: ribosomal RNA, 403 nt
Filed under: Verrucomicrobiota bacterium
Lineage: Bacteria; Pseudomonadati; Verrucomicrobiota
Description: Verrucomicrobia bacterium partial 16S ribosomal RNA
Rfam family: Bacterial small subunit ribosomal RNA
Source: RNAcentral
UGGGGAAUAUUGCACAAUGGGGGAAACCCUGAUGCAGCGACGCCGCGUGAGCGAAGAAGGCCUUCGGGUCGUAAAGCUCUUUUAUAUGGGAAGAUAAUGACGGUACCAUAAGAAAAAGCUCCGGCUAACUACGUGCCAGCAGCCGCGGUAAUACGUAGGGGGCUAGCGUUUUCCGGAAUAACUGGGCGUAAAGGGUUCGCAGGCGGCAAUGCAAGUCAGAUGUAAAAGGCAAAGGCUCAACCUUUGUAAGCAUCUGAAACUGUAUAGCUUGAGAAGUGUAGAGGCAAGUGGAAUUUUUAGUGUAGCGGUGAAAUGCGUAGAUAUUAAAAAUAAUACCGGUGGCGAAGGCGACUUUCUGGGCACAAUCUGACGCUGAGGAACGAAAGCGUGGUGAGCAAACAGG